CCUGCUUCUCGCUUUCCUGUUAGGGUUUCACGGGAGUACCCCCCAGCCCCCAGGCAGAGGGGCACAGAAACACUGAAAGACCAGAAUUAAUCAAGGUUCUCUUAAGGGCAUGUCUGUGCUUAAACAACCAAAGUGCAAAGAAACUAAAAAGCUCUAAUGCAGGACGGAGGGAGGGGGGUGGGGCCUUGGUGUGUGUCACACUUUAUGGGGGCAAGACAUGAUUGCAAGAGGGACUUUACCUAACAAUUGCAAUCAGUGUAACCUGGCUUAUUGUACCCUCAAUGAAUCCCCAACAACAACAACAAAAAAACUCUAAUGCAAGCACAUGCUCCAGUGUUGUGUAUGUGACGCCCAGCAGCUGGCACCCAAAGGGGCUUACUUAAUGUCUCAGAUUAGCUACAACGAAGUUUGUGAACACAAACGUGCACACACACAUGCAGGCAGUGCACGCACUCACUCACACUCCUUUGCUGGAUGACUGUUACUGAGUCGCCAGGGAAGACCACAAAGAACACUACAGAAUCAUGCAGGGGAUGAGGCCAGGGUGGGGCAGGACAGUCAUCCUGGUCGAGGAGAGCCCAGGUAUAACCAGCAAUUGUUUCCUAGGAGUCACUAUGGAAUUUCCCCCUUUCAUGAGUCUAAAGAUGAAGCCAGAAGGUCUUUGAAGAACUUGCCAAGCUCAUUCUGGCAUUGGCCCUCCCUGCCUCAGUGCGAGGAUCCCACUCAGCACACUCUGCGCUGCGUCCGCAGUCAGACGGGACACACUUGUGAGCACUGGACGGCAGGGCGGCAGCAAUGACCGGGGCGUGUGAUUUGAUCACCAAGAGCUGUGUCAACCUCAUGAAGCACCAACGUGCUGCUGCAUCUAGUUCUAUGAAGAAGUUUACAAAAACUGCAGUAGGGGCACGUAAGAGCCUGCUGGGAACAGGCCUUGGCCCUGUGGGCCUGGCACCCUGGUCCAGAAAGAAGAACAAAGAACCUAGGGUGGAGCAAAUACUUUUUCCAAAUAAAGAGGCCUCCUUGCCUAUGAGGAGACAGAGACGUCAAGAAAAACAAGCCUUUGCCCAGGAUGAUCAGCAGGUGCGUCCCAUUUGGGCGUGUCUCAAAAAGAAAAAAAAAAAAAGAGAGAGAAAAAGAAGAAAAAAGUAAAAAAAUAAACUUGUCUACCAAAGUCAGAUAAUUAAACGUAGCAGCACAUGCACUGGUCCAUUCAGAGGUGUUUUUUCAGGUUUUAGAAGGAUGCUCCAGCGUAAUCCCUCCAAUGUACCGACAAGCCCUCCCUGACCCUUGGGCGGGUGCACCAUGUCUCUGAGCACAGCGUUAAGCACCUGGUCUGCUCCUCCAUGUCAGGGGCUGUGGGUCACAUAUCUCUGGGGCUCUGGAGCUCAGACAGACACAAGAGCCUGGCACGAAGAAGGGCACCAGGCAACAUCUGCUGAGUGGGCGACCUGCUGGCCCCAGGAGGCACUGUUGAAACUGCUUGUGGGUGUAAGCGACAGGCCUUUUCCAGAUGGCACAGGAGGCUGCCAGUGCCCAGCUGAGGUCGAUUCUGUAAUUAGUCAUCCAUUUCUGGUGGGGAAAAUGCUCUCAUUUUGCCACUGAUCUGUCAUCCUUUCAUGACACAGUCACGGUCCUUCAUAAGGGCUAUAAUUUCUUUUCUGGAGCCAGAAUCUGUACAAAUACUCAAGAUGCGUAAAACCUAAAUUUGAGUUUCCACUCCUUUCUACAAUCACCAAGCCCUCACUCUGUGCCAGUGUAAGAAGUAAAAAUAACCAUCCCAGGUAUCAAACACUUCACUUCCAACAUGUCAAUGAAUUUUCCAGCAAUAAACUAUCUACUCAACAACUUUCACACCCAGGAUAACACCAUUGCUGUGCGUACAAACUCAUUUCUCACUUUCUGGAGACAAAUAGGAGACAGGGAUUAGGAGAACUGACUGAGGCACAAGGAAAUGUCUAAGACAGGAGAAUUUCAGUCCACAUGGACAGUAAUUCUCCAAUGGCAAAGCGCUGUUCUUUUUCCUGAAACUUGUUGGUUAAUCGCUUGACUAAUUCAAAGCAGGGAAACUGGAAUUCCCACAGAAGUGCUGAGAGCUCCUGAAACUGGGGGAAUAGUUGGCUUGGUAAUCAAGGAGUCAGCUGCCAGCUCUACCGCUGCCAGCUACAGCCGAGACCAUCUCUGAAGGAAAGCACCACCACCCAGCGCCUGGGCAAACAGCCCCUGUAUCUUCUCUGGCCAGGUGUCCUCCAUUCUCAGGCUCCCACUGGGUCUCACUCUUAUCGCUGUCAUGAGUCCCUGACCUGAACAUGCAUCCCCAUAUGGCUCCUGCCUUUCUCAGAGUACACACUCACUCUAAGUGUCACCUCCUCCGGGAAGAAUUCCCUCACUAUGCUAGUUACGUCUCGACACUAGCUCAUGUUAGAUGCACCUGCCGCAUGUUUCCAAAGCAUUCUCUCUCUCUAACAGUUCUCAUCACAAUGCACUGAAUUCAUCGGUCUGUGAGCUCCUUGAAGGCAAGAGCCACACCUAAUUUGCUUUUAUAACCCAGCAACUAGUCUAGUUCUGGGCACAGAGUGAUGUCUAACGCACACUUAUUAAACACGUGUAAGUUGUGACUAUUUGUAUUUCUGUGUGCCCUGAGGGACCGUGAGCCCGAUCGUGUGAACACAGCCACGCUGUCUGACGCUGGCCACAGGUGGAGCCAAGGUGCACUACAGUGACACCCCCAGGCUGAGCUCCCUCCUGCUCUCCAUGUGGUGUCCUGACUUAGGCUAUGCAUGGUUUGAGAGAUUAGAUGAAAGUAACCCAAUCUAAAUGCAAGCCAGGCAAGGAGGCCUGGGGAAAUGAAAGGUCCCUAACAACAGAACACGGAUGAUUCCCGUGCAGAUGGAAUGAAAGAGUGGGUUGUAGCCAUGUUCGUGUUGGCAUGAAGGGAAACCUUUCUAUAACACUUUGUGAAAAUAUUGUUAUCAUGCUCAUGUCUAUACAAAGAAAACUCACAAGAUGCUGACUCCACAUCUAAGGAGAAAGGGGCACAGAAAGCCCAGAAGGAGCGAGGCUGAUGGAGAGCCCUCCUGGAGGUGAGGGCGCUGCGCCCGCGGAGGCUGGUCCUGCCGCAUGUGCCCCCCCACAGGACGAGAUGUGACAGUCAAGACGGCUCAGGGAGCAGACUCUCGGCACAGCCACCGACCUACAGCCUGACAGAAGCAGCACCAAAGCUCAGAACAGGAAAAGGCAUCUUUGUCUUCUUCCAGAACUGGUAUUCUGGAAGGGUGGAAAGACCUGUAAGCUAGGGUGGGGUGGGCGUGGGGAGGGGUGGCCACAGGCCACUUAGGAAUCAGCUCUUUCUCAGUACCUUGAGAAUCAGAAAUAAAUGAACAAUAGAAAACCCCAACACUUGCCACUCGAGUUUAUUAUUUACCACUCUUACGUGUUUUUAAGUGAAAUUCACCCUCCUUCUCUGGUGAAGGAGAGCUUCAUGGAGUCAGAGACCUUGCUGACGCCACACACUCUUUAGGAUGGAGGUGAGGCGUCUGUUCCACUCCCUGAGCACCAGCAUCUACGACAGUGGUUCUCAACCUCCCUAAUGCUGCAACCCUUUAACACAGUUUCUGUGGGUCACGACCCACAGGUUGAGAACCGCUGAUCUAGGGGCUCAUGUUGUCUGCAAAUCAAAUACCACACAGCCUCCUUUAAUCUGUGCCUAUUUCCACUGAGAACAUUUCAGCACCACUAUCCAGGGUUUCAGACUUCAGAAAAAUCAAGGAAUCCAUUUUUAUAGUCGAUCCUUUCACAAAAUUUGAGUAGCAAAGAGAAACACUGUAAAGUCUAGCCCUAAGAACGGUGCUUAACGUGCAGCCCGGGCCAUGAAUAUGCAUGGCACUCCUUGUCAGCACACAGCCCGCACAGACCUAGACAGUCUGAAGUGUCGGAGUGAGAUUAAAGCAAGGCUCAGCUAAUAUUCACAUUGCCCUCUUGUUCCCUCUCUAAAGAGACAGAGAGAAAGAAAGAGUGGGGGAGAAAAUUAAACAUCUUCUAAAGUCUCUAAUCCCACCAACAUCUGAAGUGCUUCAUUGUCUGCUUACUUUGGAAAGAGCUUCUAGCGUUGCCAUGGCUACCACACAGAGGCCAGAGCCUGUUUGUUGCAAAACUGCUUUGAAGGAACCCGCCACAAAUGCAAGUGUGCAAGCUCUACAGGCUGGCCAGCUCCCAGCAGGGCAUCCUGGGGUCCUGACCAGGCCACCAGGACCAUAGUGGCAA
Molecule: long non-coding RNA, 4260 nt
Organism: Nycticebus coucang (slow loris)
Lineage: Eukaryota; Metazoa; Chordata; Mammalia; Primates; Lorisidae
Exons: 2
Source: RefSeq, a predicted model, not a curated record